AAUGGACGAAAGUCUGAUCCAGCUAUGCCGCGUGCAGGAUGACGGCCUAUGGGUUGUAAACUGCUUUUAUACAGGAAGAAAAAUCCGACGUGUCGGAUCUUGACGGUACUGUAAGAAUAAGGAUCGGCUAACUCCGUGCCAGCAGCCGCGGUAAUACGGAGGAUCCAAGCGUUAUCCGGAAUCAUUGGGUUUAAAGGGUCCGCAGGCGGUUUUUUAAGUCAGAGGUGAAAUCCUACAGCUCAACUGUAGAAUUGCCUUUGAUACUGAAAGACUUGAGUUAUUGUGCAGUGGUUAGAAUGUGUGGUGUAGCGGUGAAAUGCAUAGAUAUCACACAGAAUACCAAUUGCGAAGGCAGAUCACUAACAAUUAACUGACGCUCAGGGACGAAAGCGUGGGUAGCGAACAGGAUU
Molecule: ribosomal RNA, 410 nt
Filed under: uncultured Flavobacteriia bacterium
Lineage: Bacteria; Pseudomonadati; Bacteroidota; Flavobacteriia
Description: bacterial SSU rRNA
Rfam family: Bacterial small subunit ribosomal RNA
Source: RNAcentral